CAUCUAAUGUCCGAGUUGGUUUAGGUACUUGUCUGCAAAACGAGUUACGUGAGUUCGAGUCUCACUUAGAUGU
Molecule: transfer RNA, 73 nt
Filed under: Bacteriophage sp.
Description: tRNA-Cys
Rfam family: tRNA
About the family: Transfer RNA (tRNA) molecules are approximately 80 nucleotides in length. Their secondary structure includes four short double-helical elements and three loops (D, anti-codon, and T loops).
Source: RNAcentral